Molecule: small nuclear RNA, 194 nt
Filed under: Rhizopogon vesiculosus
Lineage: Eukaryota; Fungi; Basidiomycota; Agaricomycetes; Boletales; Rhizopogonaceae
Description: U2 spliceosomal RNA
Rfam family: U2 spliceosomal RNA
About the family: U2 is a small nuclear RNA (snRNA) component of the spliceosome (involved in pre-mRNA splicing).
Source: Rfam by way of RNAcentral
UUACCACUCUGGCCUAAUGGCUUAGAUCAAGUGUAGUAUCUGUUCUUAAUAGUUUAACCACUAUUAUGAGAGCACCGCUCUCAUUCUCUGGUUAUCAAAAUUUUGCCGCCCUUUACUCUCUUCGAGCUCUGCUUGCAACUCGAAGGGCGCGAUGACCUUGCUACUGCACUAUUAGCUUGUGUUGUCGGGGGUAC